AUUGAACGCUGGCGGCAUGCCUUACACAUGCAAGUCGAACGGUAACAGGUCUUCGGAUGCUGACGAGUGGCGCACGGGUGAGUAAUACAUCGGAACGUGCCCGAUCGUGGGGGAUAACGAGGCGAAAGCUUUGCUAAUACCGCAUACGAUCUACGGAUGAAAGCGGGGGAUCUUCGGACCUCGCGCGGACGGAGCGGCCGAUGGCAGAUUAGGUAGUUGGUGGGAUAAAAGCUUACCAAGCCGACGAUCUGUAGCUGGUCUGAGAGGAUGAUCAGCCACACUGGGACUGAGACACGGCCCAGACUCCUACGGGAGGCAGCAGUGGGGAAUUUUGGACAAUGGGCGAAAGCCUGAUCCAGCCAUGCCGCGUGCAGGAUGAAGGCCUUUGGGUUGUAAACUGCUUUUGUACGGAACGAAAAGCCUCUUUCUAAUAAAGAGGGGUCAUGACGGUACCGUAAGAAUAAGCACCGGCUAACUACGUG
RNAcentral lists this ribosomal RNA (482 nucleotides) under uncultured bacterium. RNAcentral describes it as "partial 16S ribosomal RNA". It matches the Rfam family "Bacterial small subunit ribosomal RNA", at positions 30 to 507 of the family's 1533-position model. The record is from RNAcentral.